Molecule: non-coding RNA, 28 nt
Filed under: Rattus norvegicus (Norway rat)
Lineage: Eukaryota; Metazoa; Chordata; Mammalia; Rodentia; Muridae
Source: RNAcentral
UCAGAGUGUGUGUCUAUGUCCCGGCAGA